Molecule: long non-coding RNA, 933 nt
Organism: Hippoglossus stenolepis (Pacific halibut)
Lineage: Eukaryota; Metazoa; Chordata; Actinopteri; Pleuronectiformes; Pleuronectidae
Exons: 2
Source: RefSeq, a predicted model, not a curated record
GACUUCUCCUCCACGUGCCGUAAUAAGCCGAGACUCCCCAUGAUGCAACGUGAAGAAGGAUUUCGGAUGCAGUCCUUUCUGCUCCAGUGCCGCUCUGAGACGAACCGGCGGCUCCAAGUAGUACUGCCCCAAGGAGACGCUCCGAUGGGGAUGGCAGCGAGGUCGAAUGGUCCAAAGCGUCGUCCAAUCUCCUGGAAGGAGGGGCAGUAGCCAGUGUCCCCAGCAAAGAAGAAUCGAUGUUCCGGACCCAAAAUAGACCAGCUGCCCCAUAACGUCUGAGAGAAACAGGAAAUACACGUUGUUAAGUUAAGUACUUUAUUUAAACUGACUAAUGGAAGAAAUACUUGUUUGGUUGUCACUGAUUCUGCUCAGCUAACUAAACACCAAUAUGUUACAGCCUAAUCAGUAAUAAUGACCGUGUUAUCAUCCAGAGCCGAGCGUUUGCUCCAGUGCUGAGACGGCGUGCAGACGAACAUCACGUCGUCGUGACCCGGGACACAGUUCUCGUCCCACCAGUCCAGCUCGAUCACGUUCUCACAGCCCAUUUUCAUCAUCCAGUCCAUGAGACCCAGGGGCACGAACCUGCAACACACGGGAGUGUCAGACACAUAAGAAAUGAAUUGAAGAGAGUGAGAAAUGAGCCCACUGACGGAUCGCUCGUACCAGCGUAGCUCCCCCCCGAAGCGUGCGUUGAGGCUGGCCACAGAUCCAACAUCCAGGUGGUCGUAAUGAGAGUGGCUGAUGACAACAGCAUCGAUCCUGGGCAGCUGAGGACAACAGGGAACAGGGUCAAAUGAAAAGAAGUUCUCUGGGCUCCCACACAUCGAUUCAAAUGAGAUGUCUUCCAAAUAAUCUUAAUUGUCCUGGACAUUUUUUAUUGUAUUUUAGCCCCUUUCAUAAAUCUUCUAUGUAUGAUUAAAUGUGUCAAUACAA